GCAUUGGUAGUUUAGGGGUAGAAUUCUUGGUUUCCAUGCAGGAGACCCAAGUUCGAUUCCCAGCUAACGCA
Molecule: transfer RNA, 71 nt
Filed under: Loxodonta africana (African savanna elephant)
Lineage: Eukaryota; Metazoa; Chordata; Mammalia; Proboscidea; Elephantidae
Rfam family: tRNA
About the family: Transfer RNA (tRNA) molecules are approximately 80 nucleotides in length. Their secondary structure includes four short double-helical elements and three loops (D, anti-codon, and T loops).
Source: Rfam by way of RNAcentral